GGAGAGUUGCCGGAGUGGUCGAACGGGGCAGUCUCGAAAACUGUUGAUCCUCUUGGGGAUCCGAGGGUUCGAAUCCCUCACUCUCCG
RNAcentral lists this transfer RNA (87 nucleotides) under Bacteroidetes bacterium 4484_249. Its description in RNAcentral is "tRNA-Ser". It matches the Rfam family "tRNA". From Rfam's summary of the family: Transfer RNA (tRNA) molecules are approximately 80 nucleotides in length. Their secondary structure includes four short double-helical elements and three loops (D, anti-codon, and T loops). The record is from RNAcentral. Lineage: Bacteria; Pseudomonadati; Bacteroidota.